RNAcentral lists this ribosomal RNA (451 nucleotides) under uncultured soil bacterium. RNAcentral's name for it is "partial 16S ribosomal RNA". The record is from RNAcentral.
GGAAUUCGAUUCGGUGUGACAAGGCCCGGGAACGUAUUCACCGCGGCGUGUUGAUCCGCGAUUACUAGCGAUUCCAACUUCACGCCGGCGAGUUGCAGCCGACGAUCCGAACUGAGACCGACUUUCUCCGAUUAGCUCCCCCUUGCGGGCUCGCGACGGUUUGUGCCGGCCAUUGUAGCACGUGUGUAGCCCCAGACAUAAAGGCCAUGCUGACUUGACGUCAUCCCCACCUUCCUCCGGUUUAUCACCGGCAGUCUCUCCAGAGUGCCCAGCUUAACCUGAUGGCAACAGAAGACAAGGGUUGCGCUCGUUGCGGGACUUAACCCAACAUCUCACGACACGAGCUGACGACAGCCAUGCAGCACCUCUACGAGUGUCCUUGCGGAAGCUCCCUUUCGGGAGUGGUCACUCGCUGUUCAAGCCUGGGUAAGGUUCUUCGCGUUAAUCACUA